RNAcentral lists this ribosomal RNA (110 nucleotides) under Acanthosepion pharaonis. Lineage: Eukaryota; Metazoa; Mollusca; Cephalopoda; Sepiida; Sepiidae. The record is from RNAcentral.
GCCCAUAUCUCAUUUAAACACCUGUUCUCGUAUGUUCACCGAAGUUAAGCAACAUCGAACCUGGUCAGUACUUUGAUGGGUGACCGCUUAGGAACACUAGGUGCUGUAAG